RNAcentral lists this long non-coding RNA (223 nucleotides) under Mytilus galloprovincialis (Mediterranean mussel). The record is from RNAcentral. Lineage: Eukaryota; Metazoa; Mollusca; Bivalvia; Mytilida; Mytilidae.
UAAAAAGUAAAGCAACAACAAAAACUGACAAAAAAAAACCGACUCCGACGAAAUUUAAAAACGGAAAGUCCUUAAAAGAGGGACGAAAGAUACCAAAGGGACAGUCAAACUCAUAAAUCCAAAACAACUGACAACGCCAUGGCUAAAAACGAAAAAGACAAACAAACAACAGCACACACGACACAACAUAGAAAACCAAAGAAUAAACAACACGAACCCCACC